UGUGUUUUAUGUUGUUUGCCCACUUGUUGUGUUUAUAAAAAAGUUAAAAAUUGUUUAUUUGUGAAACUGGCAAAUGAACAUAACAAAAUUAGUGUAGUGCGGGAGAUCUUAGCUGCCAAAGACAUUCUCUUUGGCCAAAAUGGACAACUCCAGAAAGACAGGGGCGGCUGGAGGCAGGGGCUGUAAAUUAUCCGAGUUGGAUACCCUGGUCUUAGAAGUGAUUGGGAAGGAGUCACCAACCUGCGAUGGUAUUCGGCCCCAAGAGAAUGAUGGUGAGGAUAUGUCAUUGCAAGAUUUGAUUGGCAUCACAUUAAAUUGGUAAUUACGGAAGUGACUGCUACCAAGAAGGAAGAAAAGCCAGUGCCUAUGCCUGAGAGCUCCCGAAAAAGAAAGCGAUAUAUGGAAAAUGGUUCUUCCGCCCACGGGGAAGCAGAAAUUAAAAAAUUGAAGAUGGAUGAAAAGGUGGAGUGCCAGAUCGAAAACUUGAAGCUGCAGAAUAAAAAUUUUCACUUGAAAAAUAAAGCUCUUCAGAUUAAAAUUUUGGAGCAAAAUGUAUGGGCCGUAAGGGGGCAUACACCCCCUUAUUUUUUUAGGAACAACUUUUUGUUCUUUAUACUUUUUUUAUUAAUAUUUUUCUUAUUUGUAAAUUAAUUAAAAUAAUUUAAAAUAGUUUGUAGCCUAGCUUGGCCUCUAAUGUCUGUUAUGGUUUGGCUGACUUCUUCUACAUUAUCGGAGUCACUAAGGUUAGUAAUUGUAUAGUUUUCAUCUUCUUCAGUGCGUGAAAAAUUGCAAAGUGUGACCGCACAAGUAAAAACAUCGCUGGUCAUUUUUGGGGUCUCCCGCAAAUAAUUUAAAAUGGGAAAUUUUUCAAUUAAAAUACAAAUUGCAUUUUCCACAACUCUUCUGGUUGGUUUAUGGGCAUUGAGGAAUCUUCUAUUAUUAGAUAGUGGAGGAAUCAGCCAAUCUUUCAGCGGAUAUGCUGAAUCACCUAGAAUGAUUCCAUUCUGAAUUGGACGCCAGCCGUUUUCCAUUCUGCGGAACAAACAAGUAUUCCGCAAGACGCGAGAAUCGUGAGUAUCCCAGGCCAAUUUGCAUAGGAGUAAUAGAACUGGAGAUCGGGUCCGCAAACCACCAUACACGAAAUGGAGUGAUUACCAUGCCUAUCAACAUAAGCUUCUUCAUGCUCUUUAGGUGCAUCUAAUUUUAUUAAAGUGCCGUCCAAACAGCCGCAAACU
Molecule: long non-coding RNA, 1235 nt
Organism: Bactrocera dorsalis (oriental fruit fly)
Lineage: Eukaryota; Metazoa; Arthropoda; Insecta; Diptera; Tephritidae
Exons: 3
Source: RefSeq, a predicted model, not a curated record